Molecule: non-coding RNA, 649 nt
Organism: Chlorocebus sabaeus (green monkey)
Lineage: Eukaryota; Metazoa; Chordata; Mammalia; Primates; Cercopithecidae
Source: RefSeq, a predicted model, not a curated record
GCACCUGGCCCUCUUGCACAUAUUCCUAUUUUGAAGCAUUAUAGUGCUUUGAGAUGAUUUGUUUAUCAUUGUUUACCAUCUUUGUGUUCCUAAUGUAAUACCACUGACUCUGCCUUUCAUCUCUUUCCCCAGUGCCUAGUAUAGUUUGUUAAGAAAGAGUAAGGGAAUGACUGAAAGCCUGAUCUGGACAGGCCAAGGCCCCCCUGAGGGCUGCAGUUUUAUCUGCCUCACAGGAGACACCUAGUUCACACAGACCUUCAGGAGGAGCCACUUCAGAGUGCGAGGGGACCCAAGUUUACACAGGCUUUGCUAAUGCUGCAGAUGCUUACAACCCUGUUUUCAGAAGUUGCUGUCAGUGUCGGAAGUUCUCCCUGCUAUCUGCCCUCAAGGCUUCCCACUGUACUGCCCUGGUCCUGGGCUCACCUGAGAUUGCUGGGAAAAGAAAGGGUCAACCAGGAGGUUUAGACAUGUGGAGAAGGAGUGUGCCUGGCUCUACCAGUUGGAACUGGGAUCAGAGGUGGAGCUGAGGAGGCUGGUCCAGGGAGAAUGCUACACUAAGAGCUACUGCCUUCUGGAUCCAUGGCCUCUCCAGAACUAGAGACCGUGAUGGUCGGCCUGAGCUGAGAGCAGCACCUGCACACGAGACCCA